GCCAGAUCACUCAACCAAAGCCCAAAUCCUGUAAUAGAUUCUUUCUAACACCCUCUACGGAAACUACCACAGUUCCCCAUGGUAUUCAUGCUCUCUAGUUUCUACCAGUAACAAAACCAACUUGUUCAACAACAGGCAAAACAGGAAAACCAGACCAGCAGAGAGGAGAGAGACCAGCAAUCAGACCCUCCCAGAGACAAUCAUUGUUAACAUAUUGGUGCGG
Molecule: long non-coding RNA, 223 nt
Filed under: Homo sapiens (human)
Lineage: Eukaryota; Metazoa; Chordata; Mammalia; Primates; Hominidae
Description: HSALNT0312502
Source: RNAcentral